Long non-coding RNA from Beta vulgaris subsp. vulgaris (sugar beet), 472 nucleotides. RefSeq lists it as uncharacterized. The record is from RefSeq and is a predicted model, not a curated record. Lineage: Eukaryota; Viridiplantae; Streptophyta; Magnoliopsida; Caryophyllales; Amaranthaceae. The transcript is spliced from 2 exons.
UGAGUUAUGACUGCAGUAUAAAAACAAAGGUUAAAAAGUAAAACCCUAACAUUUCACAAAACCUAAACGGCACAAAGCCAAAAACCCUAACAUUUCAAUUUUCAACUCUCUCUUUCUCACUCUUUCAUUCUUGCGUCGCCCUUAGUCCAAAUUUUGAUGGCUGACCUCCCUUCUAAUCAUGUUGAUUUGGAGGCUUCAUCAGAGGAAGAAGAGAACUCCCAUGUCUAGCCAAGCUUGAUGCUGAUUUUAUAAUGAUGUUUGAUUGAUUUUGUAUUGUAGUUGGCAAACUUUUAUAUUUUAGUUGCAAAUUAACUUCUAGCGUAUUUAGUAUAUUUUGAUGGAGUGUUGGUUUCUUUGUUUGAAAUUUGAAUGUUGGUACUUGACUAUUUGUGUAGUUGGAUACUUGGAUUUAACUUUUAAUUUUCUAACUUGAAUGUUGGAUGCAAUUGGAUGCCGAUUUCUUUGUUAUAAA